UACGAAGGGGGCUAGCGUUGCUCGGAAUCACUGGGCGUAAAGCGCACGUAGGCGGAUUGUUAAGUCAGGGGUGAAAUCCUGGAGCUCAACUCCAGAACUGCCUUUGAUACUGGCGAUCUUGAGUCCGGGAGAGGUGAGUGGAACUCCGAGUGUAGAGGUGAAAUUCGUAGAUAUUCGCAAGAACACCAGUGGCGAAGGCGGCUCACUGGUCCGGUUCUGACGCUGAGGCGCGAAAGCGUGGGGAGUAAACAGG
This 253-nucleotide ribosomal RNA is filed under the name uncultured bacterium. RNAcentral describes it as "partial 16S ribosomal RNA". It matches the Rfam family "Bacterial small subunit ribosomal RNA", at positions 524 to 776 of the family's 1533-position model. The record is from RNAcentral.